Non-coding RNA from Sus scrofa (pig), 45 nucleotides. Lineage: Eukaryota; Metazoa; Chordata; Mammalia; Artiodactyla; Suidae. The record is from Rfam.
CCAAAGGCUCUUUUCAGAGCCACCUAUACCAUUUCCAGUAAAGAG